Pseudomonas alkylphenolica is the source of this 87-nucleotide non-coding RNA. The record is from Rfam. Lineage: Bacteria; Pseudomonadati; Pseudomonadota; Gammaproteobacteria; Pseudomonadales; Pseudomonadaceae.
UUUUAUGGUGGCUGUGCGUGGGAGACCUUCGGGUCUGCCGGGUCCUAUAUCCUCGGUCUUGCACACCUGCGCACAGCUGCCACCCAU